Molecule: long non-coding RNA, 942 nt
Filed under: Lepisosteus oculatus (spotted gar)
Lineage: Eukaryota; Metazoa; Chordata; Actinopteri; Semionotiformes; Lepisosteidae
Description: lncRNA (ENSLOCG00000021285.1)
Source: RNAcentral
UUAAUCCAAUACAAGGUAUCAGAGAAGCCAGAACCUAUCCUGGCAAGCAACAGGCUCAAGUCAGGAUAUACCCUGGAAAGGUAUAUUGCAUUGCAGGAAAAACAUACUCACAUAAGCACCUGUUUUUCCCAGAAGCCAGAUGGCUUACCACUACAGUAUGUCUUUGGACUUUGGGAAGAAACUUGAACACCUGGCAGAAACCCUCACAAGCACAGGGAGAGCAAACAAGCUCCAUGCAGAGAGCACCCCAAGUCCAGGAUUGAACUCAGGGCCCAGGUACUGAGAGGUUGCAAUGUAAACCACCAUUGCCACCCUUUUAUAUAUAGCAAUUAUGUUCUAUAAGAUACUUUCUACAAAUCACAUUUAGAAUACUGUGUUUCAUAAAAAGAAUGCAAUAAAUUUACACAGUUUGAAAUAUUGCAAUAACAAAUCUUACUUAUCAGCAUCUUUAAUCAAAGGAUAUUUAUUUUCACAGUACUGAUGUCAAUGUGAAAAGCUGGGAACCAAGCUUUUAUUAUUGAAUUCAACUUAUUGUAUUUCCUUAAGGAUUAAAUCACGUGUACAGGUAAAAACCAGGUUCUAAUGCUGUACUUCCUUUCUACCCUUCAGAUUCACUUGAAAAAAUUGACCUAACACCUGAUUUUUUCAAGAAAAUCUUCGCUCUCAUUUUAAGCUGGACAUGGGGAACCAAGUACAACUUCCUGUAUAAAUACCCUGACACAGCAAAAACUCUCCCUGAAUAUCUGGUCAAUAACGAGAAGAUCUACUUGGAAGAUGCUGCUAUUGCCAAUGAUUGUGGCUACCCAUUGGUUUUGAGGAAUGACAGGAGAGUUAAACUCAUUCUGUCAUUUUUGGUAAGAAGCUGUAUUGGAAAUCACAAUAUUUAGCAGUUCAGUAUAGUGAAGUCUUAUACAGUAUAUAGGCUCACAUGCUUUGCAUCAA